AUCCAGGAAUGGGAAUCGAAUCCACAGUGUUCCGCUUACCGGGCAGAUUACCAUGUCCACUAGGCUACCCUGGA
RNAcentral lists this transfer RNA (74 nucleotides) under Cordylochernes scorpioides. RNAcentral describes it as "tRNA-Thr". The record is from RNAcentral. Lineage: Eukaryota; Metazoa; Arthropoda; Arachnida; Pseudoscorpiones; Chernetidae.